Long non-coding RNA from Hyla sarda, 675 nucleotides. RefSeq lists it as uncharacterized. The record is from RefSeq and is a predicted model, not a curated record. Lineage: Eukaryota; Metazoa; Chordata; Amphibia; Anura; Hylidae. The transcript has 3 exons.
CACGCCGACUCGCGCAUAAGCCGUGCGCAAGAAGCCACGGGCUGCACAUAUACUAUGCGCAUAAUCCACACGGCGUCCCCAGUGCUAUGGCAACAAGCACCGGAAGUGACGCACCGGUGUCUCUACAACACAAAAAGCGAGCGCCUGCAGCAUGCUGUCACGGAUCGAGACGGCAAGGCUGCACACACAAGACUCCACUUCAGCAACCCAGAACUUAGCAACUACUAGAACUGGGUUGGAAAAGUAUGUUCCUUAGUGAAUUUGACGGUGACCUUGAAAGAAUAUAAAAUGCCUCCUUAAACUCAAAUAGUCCCAGCUGCUUCCACCAGAGAACCCACAAGUUCAUAAAGUAUAAAAGGCGGAAAACACUUUGCCACAAUUGAGUCACUUGAAGAGCAACAUAUGCCGUGCAGUCAUAAUGAAAAGUACAACUUGUUUGUUCGCAAAGAUUGUUAAAAGGUCCCUAAUUAAUUAGCAAGGAUCUGUUCUCUGGCGGCUUCGCACAUCCUACCCUCAGCUCCUACGUUUGUGGAGAAGAAAUUGUCUUUUUUCAUUAUACCAACUUGUUCACUUGAAAUAAAUAGACAAAGAAAUAUCCAAAGCUGCCUUCCAAAUUCUAAAAACAGAAGCCUUCUAACAAGAAAAUCAAUUGGCAAGAAUCAAGUAAUACAAAUA